RNAcentral lists this ribosomal RNA (465 nucleotides) under uncultured bacterium. RNAcentral's name for it is "partial 16S ribosomal RNA". It matches the Rfam family "Bacterial small subunit ribosomal RNA", at positions 28 to 507 of the family's 1533-position model. The record is from RNAcentral.
GACGAACGCUGGCGGCGUGCUUAACACAUGCAAGUCGAACGGAAAGGCCCUGCUUGCAGGGUACUCGAGUGGCGAACGGGUGAGUAACACGUGGGUGAUCUGCCCUGCACUUCGGGAUAAGCCUGGGGAACUGGGUCUAAUACCGGAUAGGAGCCAUUUUUAGUGUGAUGGUUGGAAAGUUUUUUCGGUGGAGGAUGAGCUCGCGGCCUAUCAGCUUGUUGGUGGGGUAAUGGCCUACCAAGGCGGCGACGGGUAGCCGGCCUGAGGGGGUGGACGGCCACAUUGGGACUGAGAUACGGCCCAGACUCCUACGGGGGGCAGCAGUGGGGAAUAUUGCACAAUGGGCGCAAGCCUGAUGCAGCGACGCCGCGUGGGGGAUGACGGCCUUCGGGUUGUAAACUCCUUUCGCUAGGGACGAAGCUUUUUGUGACGGUACCUAGAUAAGAAGCACCGGCUAACUACGUG